RNAcentral lists this ribosomal RNA (618 nucleotides) under uncultured bacterium. RNAcentral describes it as "bacterial SSU rRNA". It matches the Rfam family "Bacterial small subunit ribosomal RNA", at positions 211 to 828 of the family's 1533-position model. The record is from RNAcentral.
UCCGGUGGUACGGGAUGGACCCGCGUCUGAUUAGCUGGUUGGCGGGGUAACGGCCCACCAAGGCGACGAUCAGUAGCCGGCCUGAGAGGGCGGACGGCCACAUUGGGACUGAGACACGGCCCAAACUCCUACGGGAGGCAGCAGUGGGGAAUAUUGCACAAUGGGGGAAACCCUGAUGCAGCGACGCCGCGUGAGUGAAGAAGCGUUUCGGCGCGUAAAGCUCUGUCAGCGGGGAAGAAACACGGUUCGCGAGAGCCGCGGACGGUACCCGACCAAGAAGCCCCGGCUAACUACGUGCCAGCAGCCGCGGUAAUACGUAGGGGGCAAGCGUUAUCCGGAUUCACUGGGUGUAAAGGGAGCGUAGACGGCGAGACAAGUCUGGAGUGAAAGGCCGGGGCCCAACCCCGGGACUGCUCUGGAAACUGCCUGGCUGGAGUACAGGAGAGGUAAGUGGAAUUCCUAGUGUAGCGGUGAAAUGCGUAGAUAUUAGGAGGAACACCAGUGGCGAAGGCGGCUUACUGGACUGUAACUGACGUUGAGGCUCGAAAGCGUGGGGAGCAAACAGGAUUAGGUACCCUGGUAGUCCACGCCGUAAACGAUGAUCACUAGGUGUCGGGG